RNAcentral lists this non-coding RNA (27 nucleotides) under Bombyx mori (domestic silkworm). The record is from RNAcentral. Lineage: Eukaryota; Metazoa; Arthropoda; Insecta; Lepidoptera; Bombycidae.
UAUGUAAUCUUCGUUCGGAGGGUCGGC